RNAcentral lists this ribosomal RNA (478 nucleotides) under uncultured bacterium. Its description in RNAcentral is "bacterial SSU rRNA". It matches the Rfam family "Bacterial small subunit ribosomal RNA", at positions 48 to 516 of the family's 1533-position model. The record is from RNAcentral.
CCUACACAUGCAAGUCGAACGGUAACAGGAAGCAGCUUGCUGCUUCGCUGACGAGUGGCGGACGGGUGAGUAAUGUCUGGAAGCUGCCUGAUGGAGGGGGAUAACUACUGGAAACGGUAGCUAAUACCGCAUAAUGUCGCAAGACCAAAGAGGGGGACCUUCGGGCCUCUUGCCAUCGGAUGUGCCCAGAUGGGAUUAGCUUGUUGGUGGGGUAACGGCUCACCAAGGCGACGAUCCCUAGCUGGUCUGAGAGGAUGACCAGCCACACUGGAACUGAGACACGGUCCAGACUCCUACGGGAGGCAGCAGUGGGGAAUAUUGCACAAUGGGCGCAAGCCUGAUGCAGCCAUGCCGCGUGUAUGAAGAAGGCCUUCGGGUUGUAAAGUACUUUCAGCGGGGAGGAAGGGAGUAAAGUUAAUACCUUUGCUCAUUGACGUUACCCGCAGAAGAAGCAUCGGCUAACUCCGUGCCAGCAGCC